UCUGGGUCAAAUGGAAUUUCUAUUUCUAGGUCCUUGAGGAAUUGCCACACUGUCAUCCACAAUGGUUGAACUAAUGUAUACUCCCAGCAACAGUGUAAAAGUGUUCCUAUUUCUCCACAUCCUUUCCAGCAUCUAUUGUCUCCACACUGUUUAAUGAUCGGCAUUCUAACUGGUGUGAGAUGGUAUCUCAGUGUGGUUUUGAUUUGCAUUUCUCUAAUGACCAGUGAUGGUGAGCAUUUUUUCAUAUGUUUGUUGGCCUCAAAAAGUGUCUGUUCAUAGCCUUUGCCCACUUUUGAAUGGGUUUGCUUGUCUUUUUCUUGUAAAUCUGUUUUAGUUCUUUGUAGAUUCUGGAUAUUAGCCCUUUGUCAGUUGGGUAGAUUGCAAAAAUGUUUUCCCAUUCUGUUGGUUGCUGGUUCACUCUAAUGAUUGUUUCUUUUGCUGUACAGAAGCUCUGGAGUUUAAUUAGAUCCCACUUGCCUAUUUUGGCUUUUGUUACCAUUGCUUUUGGUGUUUUAGUCAUGAAGUCCUUGCCUAUGCAUAUGUCCUGAAUGGUUUUGCCUACGUUUUCUUCUAGGGUUUUUAUGAUGUUAGGUCUUAUGUUUAAGUCUUUAAUCCAUCUAGAGUUAAUUUUAGUGUAAGGUGUCAGGAAAGGGUUCAGUUUCUGCUUUCUAUGCAUUGCUAGCCAGUUUUCCCAACACCAUUUAUUAAACAAGGAAUCCUUUCCCCAUUGCUUGUUUUUGUCAGGUUUGUAAAAGAUCAGAUUAUUGUAGAUGUGUGGUGUUGCUUCUGAGGCCUCUGUUCUGUUCCAUUGGUCUAUGUCUUUGUUUUGGUACCAGUACCAUGCUGUUUUGAUUACUGUAGCCUUGUAGUAUAAUUUGAAGUGUGCCAGUGUGAUGCCUCUGGCUUUGUUCUUUUUUUGCUUAGGAUUGUUUUGGCUAUGCGGGCUUGCUACAAAGAAAAUAAAAUGCCUAUGAAUACAACUAACAAAGGAUAUAAAGGAUCUCUUCAAGGAGAACUACAAACCACUGCUCAAGGAAAUAAGAGAGGACACAAACAGAUUGAAAAACAUUCCAUGCUCAUGAUUGGGAAGAAUCAAUAUUGUGAAGAUAGCCAUACUGCCCAAAUGGCAACAUUACAGAUGUGGAUGUUUGUGAAGCUGUGUCCUGAAGAGAAGUUAAUAUGAAGCUGAAACCUCAGCUGCCCAACCAAGACAGAGCUGGAGCACGAGUUGGAAACAAAACUUGGAGUUUUAAGCCAUGGCACAGCCUAUUCUUAUUCACACGUAUAUUUCAUUAAACUCUUUUACUAAAGAAGCCUUGCUUUUACUGUUGCCCUUCAUAAGCAAGUUUAUAGAGUCAGAGGUUAAUGAUAUGCCUAAAGUCACACAACUAGCAAGCAGUAGAAUCCAGAUUUGU
Molecule: long non-coding RNA, 1415 nt
Filed under: Callithrix jacchus (white-tufted-ear marmoset)
Lineage: Eukaryota; Metazoa; Chordata; Mammalia; Primates; Cebidae
Description: lncRNA (ENSCJAG00000080493.1)
Source: RNAcentral